AAAUUCCCGCCUCGGAAAGGGGAACGAGCCGCCCCACCGAGAAUCGAGCCUUGGGCUCAUGGAGGUAACGACAUGAGUUAAGCGUAGGCACGAGCGACGAGCGGGCCGUAACGCAAGUGAAGCGAUUGAGCCUCGUGAUGAUAGUAACCCGCAGGCCGACAGCGUCAUAUUGGCUGGAAGGCAAUAGUAGGUCACCGCAAGAGGCGAUGGUGACCGGAGACUGCGGCGGGGUCGGAGAGCA
Molecule: non-coding RNA, 241 nt
Filed under: Bradyrhizobium erythrophlei
Lineage: Bacteria; Pseudomonadati; Pseudomonadota; Alphaproteobacteria; Hyphomicrobiales; Nitrobacteraceae
Source: RNAcentral